Zootermopsis nevadensis is the source of this 821-nucleotide non-coding RNA. NCBI's taxonomy places the organism in Eukaryota, Metazoa, Arthropoda, Insecta, Blattodea, Termopsidae. The record is from RefSeq and is a predicted model, not a curated record.
CUGUUCUUCAUCCUGCAGGGUAUAAACUGGAAUAAUGUGUCAAGGAAACUGCUGACGAUGCCACGUCUGCCAUCUUGUGUAAAUGAGUCUCAGUCUGUUGACAAAGAUCUGAGAAUGGAAUGUAUAGUCCACUUAUAUGCCAGUGGCAACAACACUGAGAUCUGCACAUAUAUCGCACCAGGAUUGAUACCUAUCCAGACCCAUGGCACAGAAACCUCUUAUUAGCGCCCAAGAUCAUGUCCGUGUUUCUCAAUAAAGUACUCCAUAUGCAGAAAACAUUAUUUGGGAUUAUCUGCACUGACUUUUAUAUAUUUGAUCAGCAAAUUAACAGCUUUUCUGACUACAGGAACUGUCGAGAAAUAUCUCUGUUACAGACUGAAUGAUCUUUGGACUGAGUGAGGGUGCUGCAUCGGAGGCUACAAAUAUCCUGGCUGUGACCAACUCCAUGAUGGGAAUUACGCUCACUGACCCAGAGGCAACAGAUUUUAACAUGAAAAUUUCUGUCUUCUGGAUUGUUGUGCCGUGUAGUCUGGUAGAUGUUUACCAACAUUUCAGAGGUCAGUAUGACGUCUGAAACUUGGUAAGCAUCUGCCGUACUACAUGGUGCAAGAACCCAGAAGACAGAAAUCUUCAUACUCGUCGCUGUGAAAACCUCAAAUCAUAAAUAGAUUUUAACAUCUUAACAUAGAGUCAUCAGCGGCAGGCAACGCUCUUGACUUGAAGUGGAAAGCAGUUUGUGUACGACUCCUGUGAACCCUGAAAAAUAUUGGUUUUGUAAUUAUAAGAUACAGUGACUUGAUUAAAUAUUUUGUUGCACUGUA